GUAUAUGCGAAGAAGAGGAUUAGUACAUGGCAGAAGCAUUGCAGAGAGAGACUUGUUUGCUGGGAGAGUCUUAUGUGAAAGUGAUGGAACCUACCUUGGAGCACUGUAUGAAAAUACAGCGUAUGCCUGCGUUAAAGGAAAUGAGUUGAAUCAAAAUUGAUUAAUUAGGGUGGCACCGCCGAAGUUCUUUGGUCCCUUUG
This 200-nucleotide non-coding RNA is filed under the name Clostridium sp. RNAcentral describes it as "T-box sequence". It matches the Rfam family "T-box leader". Rfam says of the family: Uncharged tRNA acts as the effector for transcription antitermination of genes in the T-box leader family. T-boxes are found upstream of many aminoacyl-tRNA synthetase genes and some amino acid biosynthetic genes usually in Gram-positive bacteria. The record is from RNAcentral. Lineage: Bacteria; Bacillati; Bacillota; Clostridia; Eubacteriales; Clostridiaceae.